RNA transcript from Cebus imitator (Panamanian white-faced capuchin), 1901 nucleotides. It is a transcript of the gene named C-terminal-binding protein 2-like, with no coding region annotated. The transcript has a single exon. The record is from RefSeq and is a predicted model, not a curated record. NCBI's taxonomy places the organism in Eukaryota, Metazoa, Chordata, Mammalia, Primates, Cebidae.
GUUCCUCUAAGUUCUUAGAGGACUGCUUUGCCUUUUGAUCUGAGAGUUGCAAAGUUCCAUAAAGAAUGGCCCUUGUGGAUAAGCACAAAGUCAAGAGACAGCAAUUGGACAGAAUUUGUGAAGGUAUCAUGAAUGGACUCCUGCACUCCCGACCCUUGUGGCACUCUGAGAUUGCACCAUGGAGACACCUAUCCUGAAGGACCUGGCCACUGUGGCCUUCUGUAACAAACAGUCCUUGCAAGAGAACCACGAAAAGGUUUUAAAUGAAGCCGUGGCUGCCAAGAUGUACCACCGUCACCCUAACCAGGGAGGACCUGGAAAAGUUCAAGGCCUUGAGAGUGAUUGUGUGGAUAGGUGUGGCCAUGACAACAUGGACAUCAAGGCCGCCUGCAAGCUCAGGAUUCCUGUGUGCAACAUCCCGUCCGCAGCCACAGAAGAGACAGCCAGCUACACCAUCUGCAACAUCCUCAGUCUGUACUGGAGGAACAAGUGGCUGUGCCAGGUACUGCGGGAAGGCACGUGGGUUCAGAGCGUGGAGCAGAUCUGCGAGGUGGCCUCAGAAGCCAUCUGCAUCCGUGGGGAGACGCUGUGGGCCUCAUCAGCUUCCGUCACAAGGGGCAGGUGGUUGCAGUUCAAGCCAAGGCCUUUGCAUUCAGCAUCAUAUUUUAUGACCCCAACUUGCAGGAUGGGAUAGAGUGGUCCCUGGGCAUUCAAAGGGUCUACACCCAGAGGACUUGCUAUAUCAGAGAUCAGAGUGACUGGGUCUCCUUGCACUGCAAUCUCAACGAACGUAACCACCACCUCAUCAAUGACUUUACUAUAAAGCAGAUGAGGCAGGGAGUAUUCCCUGUGAACACAGCCCGUGGUGGCCUGGUGGUUGAGAAAGCCUUAGCACAGGCCGUCAAGGAGGGCAGGAUCCUCACACUGGCUGGUACAGCGAGCAGGCAAAAACAGAGAUGAGGGAGGCGGCUGCCACCGAGAUCCGUCGUGUCAUCACAGGUCGCAUCCCAGAAAGUUUAAGAAACUGUGUGAAGAAGGAAUUCUUGGCCACAUCAGUGCCUUGGUCAGUAGUAAAUCAGCAAACAAUUCAUCCUGAGUUGAAUGGUACCACAUACAGAUAUCCACCAGGCAUCAUGGGUAUGGCUCCAGGCAUAUUCCCUGCAGCCACGGAAGGGAUUGUCCCUGGAAGCAUCCCAGUGACUCACAACCUCCUGACAGUGGCACAUCCUUCCUAAGCGCCCUCUCCCAACCAGCCCACAAAACAUGGGGACAAUUGAGAGCACCCCAAGGAGCAAUAGCAGAGAAUGCUGAAAGGUAAUCAUUCAGAUGCUAUUUGGGAUCAAGAGACAGUGAAAAUUAGAUGAACUAAGAGAAAAAGAAUCUAAUGGUCUUUUUUUAACUGAUUCUGGACCUAUGCAUUGUUGAUGUUGCAGUGUUAAAACUACAAGAGCUAGAAAACUGAAGAUGCGUCUGCUUACAGAAGCGCUGAAAGACGAAGACGUGAUUUCUUAAUGACCAACUUUGGUUAUUACGUGUUAAGUUUUUCAUCUGUCCAUCAAAUCACAAAGCAUAAAUAGAGCUUUUUCCUUUAUCAGUCCCGUGGGCACAGCAGGUCCUGAACACCCUGCACUAGAAUGUUGCAUCAAGAGUUCAAACAUCCAAAUAAAAAAUAUUAAGAGGAAAUCCCCAUCCUGUGACUUGAGUCCCUUCAGUCUACAGGGGCUGGUUACCUCUUUUUGCUAAUAGGAAGAUCACAUUACUACAAAAUGGGGAGAAAACUCUUUGCCUGUGGUGGACACCUGCACACAUAGGAUUGAAGACAGUACAGGAUACAGAGAAACGUGUCUCUCAGAACUACAUACUGAGCGGGAAAGUUGGUUGUAAAACCCUCUGAUGAUGCA